Molecule: long non-coding RNA, 1317 nt
Organism: Cavia porcellus (domestic guinea pig)
Lineage: Eukaryota; Metazoa; Chordata; Mammalia; Rodentia; Caviidae
Exons: 3
Source: RefSeq, a predicted model, not a curated record
GGUUGUAGAGUGGAGGUGCCUGUCAGCUGGCAGCAGUAUGCUGGAUAUCACACACCCUUACAUCCUGUAAUUAAAUCAGAGAGCCAAUCAGUCCAUCUCUGCCUCCCAAGUACAUGAAAUGAGGAUCCCUGCAAUCACUGCUCACAUGCGAUUUGUUGCUGUCUCCCUCUGACUUGAGGAAUGGCCACCAAAGAGACAUGCUUACAGCCCAAAGGGCUUCCAAAUGGAAAGGGAAAAGACACCAAGACACUGCCGUAUUCCUUAUUUUUGGCAAAAUGUUCAAGGCACACAUGCUGAUUUCGAAGCGAAGAACAAAACAUAGAGUGAAGAGUCAUGUCUCCAAAAGUGGCCCAGCCAGCACUGUGAAGUGUAACAUGUAGCCAGAGCCAUGUCACUCUGUCAAGAGCAAGACAACUUAGUGAAUUAGAAGUGUCAAGUCUGCUGAACAGCAAAGGCCAAGCAUCAUAUCAGCACAGACAUCAUCAGGAAAGUGAACUCCAGCUGAGAGAAACUCUGGGCAGUGCCCCACUGCUGACCAGUACAACCGCAGCUAUCACGUCCAGUUUCCUCCAGCCUGCCCUGGAGUAGAUCUCUGAAUUUUAGGGUCUAAACCAUGGCCUCUAGAGGGAGAAAAAGAGAAUCACAGACUUCCUUAGAAAAGAAGGAUCAUUCCAUUCAACAGGCUAACCCUUUCAGGGAGGGAAAUAGCCAGGAAAGGACAGGACAGCCCCCAAAAUUAGGGAGAAGGGAGGAUGGUGUCCAGAUUUUCCUUCUGGAGACAACACGAACUUCUGACUUUCUGCAUGAUUUGCAAAGGUUCUCCAGAAAGUCUAGACAUUUGGUGGAAAAGGGAAUGACAAAAAGUAAGUGCUUCAAGGUUGUGGAAAACCGCCCUGUGAGAUUUAAAUAGCCCUCUUAACUUUGUCUCCACGCUGUGUUAUCUGACCUUUCCGCAAGUCCAGGAAAAUCACAGGCUGAUGAAAUACAGAGUGUGCAGGGAGGAUUCUGUCAGGAAGGAAUGGAAUGCAAAAUUAAAGCCAUUAGGCCCAAUGCAGACUCUGCAAAUAACAGCUGCCUAGGUCUACGCACAAAUAUUUUAGACAUGUAAGAGAAGUCAGACAAUCAUCUAACGAUUCUCAAAACAAAUUCAGAAGGCAGAUGAUAGUAUUAGCUUUAAGGCUCUAAAGCCAGUUAGAGCACUCUGAUUACAGAGGUGGAAAAUGACCACUUAAGCACUUUGCUAAUUUCCCACCAGCUCUAAAACAGCCAGACUCCUCCUCACGAACUUCCUUAUUUUGUCUUUUUUUUCUCUUCUCA